GUGCGAUCGAACCGGACUGACCUCCGUUCGGGUGUGACGACCGGUCACGGAGCGGCGGACUGGUGAGUCACACGUAGAUAACCUGCCCUAUUGAGAGGGACAACCUCCUGAAAAGGUGGCUAAUACCCGAUGUGGUGCGGGGUCGACGGAUCCCGUUCCAAAGGCGGUUCUGCCGUCGCAAGAGGAGGGGGCUGCGCCCUAUUAGCUUGUUGGUGGGGUAACGGCCUACCAAGGCGAUGAUGGGUAGCUGAUCUGAGAGGAUGAUCAGCCACAUUGGGACUGAGAUACGGCCCAGACUCCUACGGGAGGCAGCAGUGGGGAAUCUUGGCCAAUGGACGAAAGUCUGAGCCAGCGACACCGCGUGGGGGAUGAAGGCUUUCGGGUCGUAAACCCCUUUUCUGGGGAAAGAAUAAGGUCGGGAGGAAAUGCCCGUCCGAUGACGGUACUCCAGGAAUAAGCAUCGGCUAACUCCGUG
This 475-nucleotide ribosomal RNA is filed under the name uncultured bacterium. RNAcentral describes it as "bacterial SSU rRNA". It matches the Rfam family "Bacterial small subunit ribosomal RNA", at positions 64 to 507 of the family's 1533-position model. The record is from RNAcentral.